UACGAAGGGGGCUAGCGUUGCUCGGAAUUACUGGGCGUAAAGCGCACGUAGGCGGCUUCUUAAGUCGAGGGUGAAAUCCUGGAGCUCAACUCCAGAACUGCCUUCGAUACUGGAGAGCUUGAGUCCGGGAGAGGUGAGUGGAACUGCGAGUGUAGAGGUGAAAUUCGUAGAUAUUCGCAAGAACACCAGUGGCGAAGGCGGCUCACUGGCCCGGUACUGACGCUGAGGUGCGAAAGCGUGGGGAGCAAACAGG
RNAcentral lists this ribosomal RNA (253 nucleotides) under uncultured bacterium. RNAcentral describes it as "partial 16S ribosomal RNA". It matches the Rfam family "Bacterial small subunit ribosomal RNA", at positions 524 to 776 of the family's 1533-position model. The record is from RNAcentral.